GAUGAACGCUGGCGGCGUGCCUAAUACAUGCAAGUCGAGCGAACGGACGAGAAGCUUGCUUUUCUGAUGUUAGCGGCGGACGGGUGAGUAACACGUGGAUAACCUACCUAUAAGACUGGGAUAACUUCGGGAAACCGGAGCUAAUACCGGAUAAUAUUUUGAACCGCAUGGUUCAAAAGUGAAAGACGGUCUUGCUGUCACUUAUAGAUGGAUCCGCGCUGCAUUAGCUAGUUGGUAAGGUAACGGCUUACCAAGGCAACGAUGCAUAGCCGACCUGAGAGGGUGAUCGGCCACACUGGAACUGAGACACGGUCCAGACUCCUACGGGAGGCAGCAGUAGGGAAUCUUCCGCAAUGGGCGAAAGCCUGACGGAGCAACGCCGCGUGAGUGAUGAAGGUCUUCGGAUCGUAAAACUCUGUUAUUAGGGAAGAACAUAUGUGUAAGUAACUGUGCACAUCUUGACGGUACCUAAUCAGAAAGCCACGGCUAACUGCGU
RNAcentral lists this ribosomal RNA (496 nucleotides) under uncultured bacterium. RNAcentral describes it as "partial 16S ribosomal RNA". It matches the Rfam family "Bacterial small subunit ribosomal RNA", at positions 28 to 506 of the family's 1533-position model. The record is from RNAcentral.